UCUCAUUUAAAUAAAUGCAGGCGAGAAAUGAGGCUUUGAUUUUUCCAGUUUACAAGGAAACCAAAGAAGCCAUAGAAAUGAUAUUUAAGGACUUUGGACUUGGCUUCUAUAAUAGGAUGUCAGAGGAGAAUGGAAUCAUUAGAGGAGACACAGAGUAGAUGAAAUAAUUAUGAGAAAAGUGAAUGAAAUAACAUUAGAGCAACAUUAUAACAAUUAGCUAAAGCAUCCCUGCACAACUGGAGAAAACUG
This is a long non-coding RNA of Piliocolobus tephrosceles (Ugandan red Colobus), 249 nucleotides long. RefSeq lists it as uncharacterized. Lineage: Eukaryota; Metazoa; Chordata; Mammalia; Primates; Cercopithecidae. The transcript has 3 exons. The record is from RefSeq and is a predicted model, not a curated record.